GCGCGCGUAGCGCAGUGGUUAACGCGUUGCACUCGUAACUCAAGUUCUGAGAUCAUGCAAAGAUCAUCGGUUCGAUUCCGAUCGUGCGCA
This is a non-coding RNA of Onygenales sp. PD_40, 90 nucleotides long. NCBI's taxonomy places the organism in Eukaryota, Fungi, Ascomycota, Eurotiomycetes, Onygenales. The record is from the annotation of a GenBank genome assembly.